AAUUUUGGACAAUGGGGGAAACCCUGAUCCAGCCAUCCCGCGUGUAUGAUGAAGGCCUUCGGGUUGUAAAGUACUUCUGGCAGAGAAGAAAAGGUACCUCCUAAUACGAGGUACUGCUGACGGUAUCUGCAGAAUAAGCACCGGCUAACUACGCGCCAGCCGCCGCGGUAAUACGUAGGGUGCAAGCGUUAAUCGGAAUUACUGGGCGUAAAGCGUGUGUGGGCGGUUCGGAAAGAAAGAUGUGACAUCCCAGGGCUCAACCUUGGAACUGCAUUUGUAACUGCCGAGCUAGAGUAUGUCAGAGGGGGGUAGAGUUCCACGUGUAGCAGUGAAAUGCGUAGAUAUGUGGAGGAAUACCGAUGGCGAAGGCAGCGCCCUGGGAUAAUACUGACGCUCAGACACGAAAGCGUGGGGAGCAAACAG
Molecule: ribosomal RNA, 423 nt
Filed under: uncultured bacterium
Lineage: Bacteria
Description: partial 16S ribosomal RNA
Rfam family: Bacterial small subunit ribosomal RNA
Source: RNAcentral